Long non-coding RNA from Epinephelus lanceolatus (giant grouper), 521 nucleotides. RefSeq lists it as uncharacterized. The record is from RefSeq and is a predicted model, not a curated record. Lineage: Eukaryota; Metazoa; Chordata; Actinopteri; Perciformes; Serranidae.
UACUCUCUACACCUCUCUGUGUUUUUAACCUUAUGUCCUCCAUUUAUCUUUAAGCAAAUAUGAGAAGUUUGCUGCCAGCACUUCUGUUUGCACUUCACAGACAAUAAUCACCUGGAUUACUUUUGAUUCAGAAGAAAAUCUUGAGUAUAAACCCAACCUUAUGAUUUCUAAAUGGAUUUAUGGAUGUUACCCGCGAUGGACAUCACAGAUCCUCUCACCUCUGGACAAACAAAUCCCAUGAAAAGACCACAACUAAUAUUAGGCUUGCUGAAGAUGAACUGCACCUCGCCUGGAAAGUAGACGAGAUCAGGCGGCAGCAGCAGGGGAAGGUGACAAAAAGCUGCAGUCAAGUUGGACGGGUUCCAGCAGCCUUCAAAGAAUAAACAGGACAGGACAGGUCACCCUACUUUAAGCUCUUUAAUCAAAAAAGAGUCAUCUCCUGUGUGUCCUUUUCAAAAAUGGAGGACUUUCUUUCAGAGCUGCAACUGGAAAAAGUCUUGUAAAAACUGUGUUAAAAUAAA